RNAcentral lists this ribosomal RNA (264 nucleotides) under uncultured bacterium. RNAcentral's name for it is "partial 16S ribosomal RNA". It matches the Rfam family "Bacterial small subunit ribosomal RNA", at positions 793 to 1055 of the family's 1533-position model. The record is from RNAcentral.
GUCCACGCCGUAAACGAUGGAUGCUAGCCGUCGGCAAGCUUGCUUGUCGGUGGCGCAGCUAACGCAUUAAGCAUCCCGCCUGGGGAGUACGGCCGCAAGGUUAAAACUCAAAGGAAUUGACGGGGGCCCGCACAAGCGGUGGAGCAUGUGGUUUAAUUCGACGCAACGCGAAGAACCUUACCAGCCCUUGACAUGUCCGGUCGGUUUCCAGAGAUGGAUUCCUCCUAGCAAUAGGUCGGAACACAGGUGCUGCAUGGCUGUCGU